CAUAGGCGAUAACAGCAUCAAAUGGUCUUCUUACAGAUUCCCUUUCUGUCAUUUUUAUGUUCAUUACCCUCCUGACUUUUACCUCUGAAAGUGCAUUUUUGUGCUCAAUGACAAUUAAGGAUAUAAACUCAUUCAUUUGGCACAGAAAUUGUUUUAUUUUAAUGCAAAUGUAAAAUACUAAAACUGAAAUGAAAAGACGUUUGGUGUAUUUUUCUCUAAGUUUGCUUCUCUUCUGUCGUGGUCCUUGGUAGAUACUGUUAAAUGUCUUGAAACCCUUCCAAACCUUCAGUACCUGGCACACAAGUAAUAAGACCGUAAGUUUAUAAUAAGCAUUUCUAUGGAAGGAAAAAGAAGAUAGUUAUAUAUGGUGAUUCCUAUAAAGAAUGCAGAAGAAAUGUGAUUAAUUUUACUGUGUAGUGAUCCUUCAACUCUGUUGCUUAAAAUUGGAUUGACAUUAAUUUGUGCUGUGACUUGCAUGUGUCAAAAUCUACUCAUGUGACCCUUGUGAGGAUUUGAUACUACUGUUAAAUUUUAGGUGUAUUCUAAAAUGCACCAAAAAAGAUGAGGCACCUUUACUAUAGAGCUUUCGCUACAUCCAUUUAUGGUUAGUAUCAUGGUAGUUCACUGUGAUUUCAGAAAUUACACCGUGAAAUCAAACAUGCACUUAGAUAUAAACAAUUCUUAUAUCGUCAAUCCCACAUAGUGUGGUGUAGCAUAGCGGUCUACCCCAUAACACUGAUGGGUAGUGGUCUGCUCCUGUGUUAAAGUUUAAUGAAAUAAUAUAAGAAAUUUAUUUAUACAAUACACAUAAAAGGUCAAAAAUGGAAAUAUAAUGGAAUUAAAGAUGUAUUUGCAACUAAUAGAUUAAAAAUGGAAGUUCAUUGUUACUAAUAUUCAAUCUCAAUAUAGAGCAAAUAAGUUUUACCCUAAGCAUUGGGUAGAGGGAGAAUACAAACACAACAGUGGGACAAUCACUUUUAGCCAAAACAGCCUGCACANNNNNNNNNNNNNNNNNNNNNNNNNNNNNNNNNNGUAGAACCUGCACUUAAUGAAGCUGUCCAGAAUGAAGAGAGAGGAGAUGAUUGGGUUUAACCGUUUUGCAGAAGAAAACAAGUGAGAAAAGAGGAGAUGCACAACCCUAUUUGGUUGCAUUCGCGAUUUUAGGAUUAAAAGGAUCAAAAGUCCCAACAAAAAAUAGCACAGCUAUGAAUUGCGGGUAAGU
Molecule: long non-coding RNA, 1222 nt
Filed under: Trifolium pratense (red clover)
Lineage: Eukaryota; Viridiplantae; Streptophyta; Magnoliopsida; Fabales; Fabaceae
Description: long non-coding RNA (TPRA_LNC000504)
Source: RNAcentral